This 93-nucleotide non-coding RNA is filed under the name bovine gut metagenome. RNAcentral describes it as "GP20-a RNA". It matches the Rfam family "GP20-a RNA". From Rfam's summary of the family: gut metagenomes. The record is from RNAcentral.
AUAGUCGAGCAUGAAGACAUUUAAAUUUAUGCACAUUCCAACCGCAAACUGUAAUGCGGAUAUACAAAUAACAGAUAUAAAAGAAUGUGGAGG